Molecule: ribosomal RNA, 496 nt
Filed under: uncultured bacterium
Lineage: Bacteria
Description: partial 16S ribosomal RNA
Rfam family: Bacterial small subunit ribosomal RNA
Source: RNAcentral
GAUGAACGCUGGCGGCGUGCCUAAUACAUGCAAGUCGAGCGAACAGAUAAGGAGCUUGCUCCUUUGACGUUAGCGGCGGACGGGUGAGUAACACGUGGUAACCUACCUAUAAGACUGGGAUAACUUCGGGAAACCGGAGCUAAUACCGGAUAAUAUUUCGAACCGCAUGGUUCGAUAGUGAAAGAUGGUUUUGCUAUCACUUAUAGAUGGACCCGCGCCGUAUUAGCUAGUUGGUAAGGUAACGGCUUACCAAGGCGACGAUACGUAGCCGACCUGAGAGGGUGAUCGGCCACACUGGAACUGAGGCACGGUCCAGACUCCUACGGGAGGCAGCAGUAGGGAAUCUUCCGCAAUGGGCGAAAGCCUGACGGAGCAACGCCGCGUGAGUGAUGAAGGUCUUCGGAUCGUAAAACUCUGUUAUUAGGGAAGAACAUACGUGUAAGUAACUGUGCACGUCUUGACGGUACCUAAUCAGAAAGCCACGGCUAACUACGUG